Molecule: long non-coding RNA, 331 nt
Organism: Oncorhynchus tshawytscha (Chinook salmon)
Lineage: Eukaryota; Metazoa; Chordata; Actinopteri; Salmoniformes; Salmonidae
Source: Ensembl
UGGGGGUAAUGGUAGGGGUUGUCGUUGGGGUAAUGAUAGGGGUUGUCGUUGGGGUAAUGGUAAGGGUUGUCGUUGGGGUAAUGGUAGGGGUUGUUGUUGGGGUAAUGGUAAGGGUUGUCGUUGGGGUAAUGGUAGGGGUUGUCGUUGGGGUAAUGGUAAGGGUUGUUGUUGGGGUAAUGGUAGGGGUUGUCGUUGGGGUAAUGGUAGGGGUUGUCGUUGGGGUAAUGGUAAGGGUUGUUGUUGGGGUAAUGGUAGGGGUUGUCGAUGGGGUAAUGGUAAGGGUUGUCGUUGGGGUAAUGGUAGGGGUUGUGGUUGGGGUAAUGGUAAGGGU